AAUUAUUCCUGUCACACAAGAAAUGUUUCUUAUCACGCUCACAUGAAACAAAAGAUUAUGAGAUAGACAUAGAUGGAACAUACAAAACAAGCACACCAGUAAAUGUAAGUAAUAAUUACACCUUUUUUGAAAUAUGUUGUACAUCAAAAUACUGGUCAAAUUUGAAUAAAAUAUUUUUGAUGUUGAUUGAUUUUUUGGCUUUAUUUUAGUCACAUGAAACAAAAGAUGAUGAGAUCCACACAGAUGGAACAUACAAUUUAAACUUUUCAUUGCAUCUAAAUAUUAAUAAUGUCAUCAC
Ostrinia furnacalis (Asian corn borer) is the source of this 298-nucleotide long non-coding RNA. RefSeq lists it as uncharacterized. The record is from RefSeq and is a predicted model, not a curated record. The transcript has 2 exons. Lineage: Eukaryota; Metazoa; Arthropoda; Insecta; Lepidoptera; Crambidae.